GGAAUUGUGGCUCAGCGGUAGAGCUCUCGCCUAGAAUGUGUGGGGCCCUGGUUUCAAUCCUCAGCACCA
This 69-nucleotide transfer RNA is filed under the name Marmota monax (woodchuck). RNAcentral's name for it is "tRNA.Ser". The record is from RNAcentral. Lineage: Eukaryota; Metazoa; Chordata; Mammalia; Rodentia; Sciuridae.